GGUUAAGCGACUAAGCGUACACGGUGGAUGCCCUGGCAGUCAGAGGCGAUGAAGGGCGUGCUAAUCUGCGAUAAGCGCCGGUAAGGUGAUAUGAACCGUUAUAACCGGCGAUACCCGAAUGGGGAAACCCAGUGUGACUCGUCACACUAUCAUUAACUGAAUCCAUAGGUUAAUGAGGCGAACCGGGGGAACUGAAACAUCUAAGUACCCCGAGGAAAAGAAAUCAACCGAGAUUCCCCCAGUAGCGGCGAGCGAACGGGGAGGAGCCCAGAGCCUGAAUCAGCAUGUGUGUUAGUGGAAGCGUCUGGAAAGGCGCGCGAUACAGGGUGACAGCCCCGUACACAAAAGCGCAUGUGCUGUGAGCUCGAUGAGUAGGGCGGGACACGUGGUAUCCUGUCUGAAUAUGGGGGGACCAUCCUCCAAGGCUAAAUACUCCUGACUGACCGAUAGUGAACCAGUACCGUGAGGGAAAGGCGAAAAGAACCCCGGCGAGGGGAGUGAAAAAGAACCUGAAACCGUGUACGUACAAGCAGUGGGAGCACCCUUUGGGGUGUGACUGCGUACCUUUUGUAUAAUGGGUCAGCGACUUAUAUUCUGUAGCAAGGUUAACCGUAUAGGGGAGCCGUAGGGAAACCGAGUCUUAACCGGGCGUUAAGUUGCAGGGUAUAGACCCGAAACCCGGUGAUCUAGCCAUGGGCAGGUUGAAGGUUGGGUAACACUAACUGGAGGACCGAACCGACUAAUGUUGAAAAAUUAGCGGAUGACCUGUGGCUGGGGGUGAAAGGCCAAUCAAACCGGGAGAUAGCUGGUUCUCCCCGAAAGCUAUUUAGGUAGCGCCUCGUGAAUUCAUCUCCGGGGGUAGAGCACUGUUUCGGCUAGGGGGCCAUCCCGGCUUACCAACCCGAUGCAAACUGCGAAUACCGGAGAAUGUUAUCACGGGAGACACACGGCGGGUGCUAACGUCCGUCGUGAAGAGGGAAACAACCCAGACCGCCAGCUAAGGUCCCAAAGUCAUGGUUAAGUGGGAAACGAUGUGGGAAGGCCCAGACAGCCAGGAUGUUGGCUUAGAAGCAGCCAUCAUUUAAAGAAAGCGUAAUAGCUCACUGGUCGAGUCGGCCUGCGCGGAAGAUGUAACGGGGCUAAACCAUGCACCGAAGCUGCGGCAGCGAACGUAUCACUUAAAGCGAUUCAGCGGGUUACGAUUGACGGAGCGAAGCGACGUCAAAGCGUAUACAAAGUCGAGUCGGUUUAAGGAUACGUUCGUUGGGUAGGGGAGCGUUCUGUAAGCCUGUGAAGGUGGCCUGUGAGGGUUGCUGGAGGUAUCAGAAGUGCGAAUGCUGACAUAAGUAACGAUAAAGCGGGUGAAAAGCCCGCUCGCCGGAAGACCAAGGGUUCCUGUCCAACGUUAAUCGGGGCAGGGUGAGUCGACCCCUAAGGCGAGGCCGAAAGGCGUAGUCGAUGGGAAACAGGUUAAUAUUCCUGUACUUGGUGUUACUGCGAAGGGGGGACGGAGAAGGCUAUGUUGGCCGGGCGACGGUUGUCCCGGUUUAAGCGUGUAGGUGUGUGUUCCAGGUAAAUCCGGUUCACUUUAACACUGAGGCGUGAUGACGAGGCACUACGGUGCUGAAGCAACAAAUGCCCUGCUUCCAGGAAAAGCCUCUAAGCAUCAGGUAACAUCAAAUCGUACCCCAAACCGACACAGGUGGUCAGGUAGAGAAUACCAAGGCGCUUGAGAGAACUCGGGUGAAGGAACUAGGCAAAAUGGUGCCGUAACUUCGGGAGAAGGCACGCUGACACGUAGGUGAAGUGAUUUACUCAUGGAGCUGAAGUCAGUCGAAGAUACCAGCUGGCUGCAACUGUUUAUUAAAAACACAGCACUGUGCAAACACGAAAGUGGACGUAUACGGUGUGACGCCUGCCCGGUGCCGGAAGGUUAAUUGAUGGGGUCAGCGCAAGCGAAGCUCCUGAUCGAAGCCCCGGUAAACGGCGGCCGUAACUAUAACGGUCCUAAGGUAGCGAAAUUCCUUGUCGGGUAAGUUCCGACCUGCACGAAUGGCGUAAUGAUGGCCAGGCUGUCUCCACCCGAGACUCAGUGAAAUUGAACUCGCUGUGAAGAUGCAGUGUACCCGCGGCAAGACGGAAAGACCCCGUGAACCUUUACUAUAGCUUGACACUGAACAUUGAGCCUUGAUGUGUAGGAUAGGUGGGAGGCUUUGAAGUGUGGACGCCAGUCUGCAUGGAGCCGACCUUGAAAUACCACCCUUUAAUGUUUGAUGUUCUAACGUGGACCCGUAAUCCGGGUUGCGGACAGUGUCUGGUGGGUAGUUUGACUGGGGCGGUCUCCUCCUAAAGAGUAACGGAGGAGCACGAAGGUUGGCUAAUCCUGGUCGGACAUCAGGAGGUUAGUGCAAUGGCAUAAGCCAGCUUGACUGCGAGCGUGACGGCGCGAGCAGGUGCGAAAGCAGGUCAUAGUGAUCCGGUGGUUCUGAAUGGAAGGGCCAUCGCUCAACGGAUAAAAGGUACUCCGGGGAUAACAGGCUGAUACCGCCCAAGAGUUCAUAUCGACGGCGGUGUUUGGCACCUCGAUGUCGGCUCAUCACAUCCUGGGGCUGAAGUAGGUCCCAAGGGUAUGGCUGUUCGCCAUUUAAAGUGGUACGCGAGCUGGGUUUAGAACGUCGUGAGACAGUUCGGUCCCUAUCUGCCGUGGGCGCUGGAGAACUGAGGGGGGCUGCUCCUAGUACGAGAGGACCGGAGUGGACGCAUCACUGGUGUUCGGGUUGUCAUGCCAAUGGCACUGCCCGGUAGCUAAAUGCGGAAGAGAUAAGUGCUGAAAGCAUCUAAGCACGAAACUUGCCCCGAGAUGAGUUCUCCCUGAGACUUAGAGUCUCCUGAAGGAACGUUGAAGACGACGACGUUGAUAGGCCGGGUGUGUAAGCGCAGCGAUGCGUUGAGCUAACCGGUACUAAUGAACCGUGAGGCUUAACCUU
This 2987-nucleotide ribosomal RNA is filed under the name Salmonella enterica subsp. enterica serovar Thompson. Its description in RNAcentral is "23S ribosomal RNA". It matches the Rfam family "Bacterial large subunit ribosomal RNA". RNAcentral also lists the same sequence under 1 other name. Lineage: Bacteria; Pseudomonadati; Pseudomonadota; Gammaproteobacteria; Enterobacterales; Enterobacteriaceae. The record is from RNAcentral.